AACGAACGCUGGCGGCAUGCCUAACACAUGCAAGUCGAACGAGAUCCUUCGGGGUCUAGUGGCGCACGGGUGCGUAACGCGUGGGAAUCUGCCCUUAGGUUCGGAAUAACAGUUAGAAAUGACUGCUAAUACCGGAUGAUGACGUUAAGUCCAAAGAUUUAUCGCCUGAGGAUGAGCCCGCGUAGGAUUAGCUAGUUGGUGUGGUAAAGGCGCACCAAGGCGACGAUCCUUAGCUGGUCUGAGAGGAUGAUCAGCCACACUGGGACUGAGACACGGCCCAGACUCCUAGGGGAGGCAGCAGUGGGGAAUAUUGGACAGUGGGCGCAGGCCUGAUCCAGCAAUGCCGGGUGGGUGAUGAAGGCCUUAGGGUUGUAAAGCUCUUUUACCCGAGAUGAUAAGGACAGGAUCGGGAAAAAAAGCCCCGGCAAACUCCGU
Molecule: ribosomal RNA, 435 nt
Filed under: uncultured bacterium
Lineage: Bacteria
Description: partial 16S ribosomal RNA
Rfam family: Bacterial small subunit ribosomal RNA
Source: RNAcentral